CGCUGUGUGGUAGAGCGGGAAUACGCCGGGAACCAGGGCGAUCUGGUCCCAGAGGUCGCUGGUUCGAUCCCGGCUGCAGCAA
Non-coding RNA from Schizothecium vesticola, 82 nucleotides. Lineage: Eukaryota; Fungi; Ascomycota; Sordariomycetes; Sordariales; Schizotheciaceae. The record is from the annotation of a GenBank genome assembly.